This 253-nucleotide ribosomal RNA is filed under the name uncultured bacterium. RNAcentral describes it as "partial 16S ribosomal RNA". It matches the Rfam family "Bacterial small subunit ribosomal RNA", at positions 524 to 776 of the family's 1533-position model. The record is from RNAcentral.
UACGUAGGGUGCAAGCGUUGUCCGGAAUUAUUGGGCGUAAAGAGCUCGUAGGCGGUCUGUCGCGUCUGCUGUGAAAACUCGGGGCUUAACCCCGGGCCUGCAGUUGAUACGGGCAGGCUAGAGUUCGGUAGGGGAGACUGGAAUUCCUGGUGUAGCGGUGAAAUGCGCAGAUAUCAGGAGGAACACCGGUGGCGAAGGCGGGUCUCUGGGCCGAUACUGACGCUGAGGAGCGAAAGCGUGGGGAGCGAACAGG